RNAcentral lists this ribosomal RNA (253 nucleotides) under uncultured bacterium. Its description in RNAcentral is "partial 16S ribosomal RNA". It matches the Rfam family "Bacterial small subunit ribosomal RNA", at positions 524 to 776 of the family's 1533-position model. The record is from RNAcentral.
UACGUAGGGGGCAAGCGUUGUCCGGAUUCAUUGGGCGUAAAGAGCGUGUAGGCGGCCAGGUAGGUCGGUUGUGAAAACUGGAGGCUCAACCUUCAGAGGUCGACCGAAACCAUCUGGCUAGAGUCCGGGAGAGGAGAGUGGAAUUCCUGGUGUAGCGGUGAAAUGCGCAGAUAUCUGGAGGAACACCGGUGGCGAAGGCGGCAUCCUGGACCGGCAUUGACGCUGAGGCGCGAAAGCCAGGGGAGCAAACGGG